This 164-nucleotide ribosomal RNA is filed under the name Gentiana fremontii. Its description in RNAcentral is "5.8S ribosomal RNA". It matches the Rfam family "5.8S ribosomal RNA". From Rfam's summary of the family: 5.8S ribosomal RNA (5.8S rRNA) is a component of the large subunit of the eukaryotic ribosome. It is transcribed by RNA polymerase I as part of the 45S precursor that also contains 18S and 28S rRNA. Lineage: Eukaryota; Viridiplantae; Streptophyta; Magnoliopsida; Gentianales; Gentianaceae. The record is from RNAcentral.
AAAACGACUCUCGGCAACGGAUAUCUCGGCUCUCGCAUCGAUGAAGAACGUAGCGAAAUGCGAUACUUGGUGUGAAUUGCAGAAUCCCGCGAAUCAUCGAGUCUUUGAACGCAAGUUGCGCCCGAAGCCAUUAGGCCAAGGGCACGUCUGCCUGGGCGUCACGC